GGUUAAGUGACUAAGCGUACACGGUGGAUGCCUUGGCAGUCAGAGGCGAUGAAAGACGUAGUAACUUGCGAUAAGCCCAGAUUAGGUAGUAACAACCAUUUGAGUCUGGGAUUUCUGAAUGGGGAAACCCACGUGCAUAAGCACGUAUCCUUACCUGAAUACAUAGGGUAAGGAGGCGAACCGGGGGAACUGAAACAUCUAAGUACCCCGAGGAAAAGAAAUCAACCGAGAUUCCGAAAGUAGCGGCGAGCGAAAUUGGACUAGCCCUUAAGCUUUACACGCGUUAGACGAACGGUCUGGAAAGUCCGACGAUACAGGGUGAUAGUCCCGUAGUUGACGACGUGUGUUCAGUGAAAUCGAGUAGGGCGGGACACGUGAUAUCCUGUCUGAAUAUGGGGGGACCAUCCUCCAAGGCUAAAUACUACUGACUGACCGAUAGUGAACCAGUACCGUGAGGGAAAGGCGAAAAGAACCCCUGUGAGGGGAGUGAAAUAGAACCUGAAACCGUGUACGUACAAGCAGUAGGAGCAGGCUUUGUCCUGUGACUGCGUACCUUUUGUAUAAUGGGUCAGCGACUUAUAUUCAGUGGCAAGGUUAACCAUCUAGGGGAGCCGUAGGGAAACCGAGUCUUAACUGGGCGUUCAGUCUCUGGAUAUAGACCCGAAACCAGGUGAUCUAGCCAUGGGCAGGUUGAAGGUUGAGUAACAUCAACUGGAGGACCGAACCGACUAAUGUUGAAAAAUUAGCGGAUGACUUGUGGCUAGGGGUGAAAGGCCAAUCAAACCUGGAGAUAGCUGGUUCUCCCCGAAAGCUAUUUAGGUAGCGCCUCGGACGAAUACUACUGGGGGUAGAGCACUGUUAAGGCUAGGGGGUCAUCCCGACUUACCAACCCUUUGCAAACUCCGAAUACCAGUAAGUACUAUCCGGGAGACACACGGCGGGUGCUAACGUCCGUCGUGGAGAGGGAAACAACCCAGACCGCCAGCUAAGGUCCCAAAUUACUACUAAGUGGGAAACGAUGUGGGAAGGCUCAGACAGCCAGGAUGUUGGCUUAGAAGCAGCCAUCAUUUAAAGAAAGCGUAAUAGCUCACUGGUCGAGUCGGCCUGCGCGGAAGAUGUAACGGGGCUAAGUAGUAAACCGAAGCUGCGGCAAUAUACUUUUGUAUAUUGGGUAGGGGAGCGUUCUGUAAGCGGUUGAAGGUGUGUGGUAACGCAUGCUGGACGUAUCAGAAGUGCGAAUGCUGACAUGAGUAACGAUAAAGGGGGUGAAAAACCUCCUCGCCGGAAGACCAAGGGUUCCUGUCCAACGUUAAUCGGGGCAGGGUAAGUCGACCCCUAAGGCGAGGCCGAAAGGCGUAGUCGAUGGGAAACGGGUUAAUAUUCCCGUACUUCUUACAAUUGCGAUGGGGGGACGGAGAAGGCUAGGUGGGCCUGGCGACGGUUGUCCAGGUUCAAGUGCGUAGGCUUAAGAGUUAGG
This 1477-nucleotide ribosomal RNA is filed under the name Vibrio parahaemolyticus. Its description in RNAcentral is "partial 23S ribosomal RNA". It matches the Rfam family "Bacterial large subunit ribosomal RNA", at positions 1 to 1536 of the family's 2925-position model. Lineage: Bacteria; Pseudomonadati; Pseudomonadota; Gammaproteobacteria; Vibrionales; Vibrionaceae. The record is from RNAcentral.